AAGUCGUAACAAGGUUUCCGUAGGUGAACCUGCGGAAGGAUCAUUAAAACGUAUCCACGUACCAACCCAGUACGAACAGUUCCCUUUGGAUCGGAGCAAUGGUCGAUUGAGUUUGUCGUGACAAGGGCGCAAGCCUUGAACUCCGUCGGUCGUCCCUUACGGGAGCUUUGAUACUAAAGCGGUUCAUCAUUUCCAUUUCACGGGAAACAUCCAAUGUACCAAUUAUUAACCCUUUGUACCUUUUGAACUGAACUGCGACCUCGUUGGCUUCCACUUCGUGGAAGACACGGAGCUUUCGAUCUAUUACGAAACUCAAACAACUCUUAACAACGGAUAUCUUGGUUCUC
RNAcentral lists this unclassified non-coding RNA (347 nucleotides) under fungal sp. Its description in RNAcentral is "partial internal transcribed spacer region". The stretch from base 1 to 46 matches the Rfam family "Eukaryotic small subunit ribosomal RNA", at positions 1786 to 1831 of the family's 1831-position model. The record is from RNAcentral. Lineage: Eukaryota; Fungi.